GAGGAUGCGAGCGUUAUCCGGAUUUAUUGGGUUUAAAGGGUGCGCAGGCGGACGCGCAAGUCUGCGGUCAAAUUCCGGGGCUCAACCCCGGACCGCCGUGGAAACUGUGCGACUAGAGUGGGCGAGAGGCAUGCGGAAUGCGCGGUGUAGCGGUGAAAUGCUUAGAGAUCGCGCAGAACUCCGAUUGCGAAGGCAGCAUGCCGGCGCCUUACUGACGCUCAUGCACGAAAGCGUGGGGAUCGAAC
Molecule: ribosomal RNA, 245 nt
Filed under: uncultured bacterium
Lineage: Bacteria
Description: partial 16S ribosomal RNA
Rfam family: Bacterial small subunit ribosomal RNA
Source: RNAcentral